AUUGAACGCUAGCGGCAGGCCUAACACAUGCAAGUCGAACGAACUCUUCGGAGUUAGUGGCGGACGGGUGAGUAACACGUGGGAACGUGCCUUUAGGUUCGGAAUAACUCAGGGAAACUUGUGCUAAUACCGAAUGUGCCCUUCGGGGGAAAGAUUUAUCGCCUUUAGAGCGGCCCGCGUCUGAUUAGCUUGUUGGUGGGGUAAUGGCCCACCAAGGCGACGAUCAGUAGCUGGUCUGAGAGGAUGACCAGCCACAUUGGGACUGAGACACGGCCCAAACUCCUACGGGAGGCAGCAGUGGGGAAUCUUGCGCAAUGGGCGAAAGCCUGACGCAGCCAUGCCGCGUGGAUGAUGAAGGUCUUAGGAUUGUAAAAUCCUUUCACCGGUGAAGAUAAUGACUGUAGCCGGAGAAGAAGCCCCGGCUAACUUCGUGCCAGCCGCCGCCGUAA
This 449-nucleotide ribosomal RNA is filed under the name uncultured bacterium. RNAcentral's name for it is "partial 16S ribosomal RNA". It matches the Rfam family "Bacterial small subunit ribosomal RNA", at positions 30 to 523 of the family's 1533-position model. The record is from RNAcentral.